AUUUUUGAAUUUGAACCAAUCAGCAUUAACGGCUACAACUUUUCGCCUAACACACUGCCUUUACUUUCUACUUUCCCAUCUGUUAAAUUCUUUUCCCCACAUUUCCCCUCUUUCCUUGCUAACUUCCUCCUGAUUCCUGUGCCGGCUUCCCUUACUAAUCCUGCGAAUCCCUUGCUCUGCUCCCUGCUCUUUCGUCCACAACCCCACCUCUGGUUAGUUCUUUUCUCUUCUCCUUCUUAUUUUUGAUGUUCUCCACAGGGGCUCUGUCCUCUCUAGAGGAAAUCAAGGCUCACCGCUUGGCAACCUUCGCCACUCUUCCCCCUUGUCACUGAGGCACCCAACCAAGAAAUCCUUGACCAAUCAUGUGAACUGUCAACCAGCGAAUCUGUCUAUAACCUCGCUAAUCGAGUCGGUGGGUUUUGCUACUCCUCCUUGCUAAAUGACCUCCUUCGCACCACCGGCUGUCAAGAACAAGACCGCCCUUGGCAGCACCGAGAGUUUAACGACCUCAGGCACUCUCACUUUUUCUUCAUCCAUGAAUACCUAUUCCUUGACCUGAACAUAAAACUUCCCUUCUCACCUUUCCUUACCCUCAUGU
RNAcentral lists this long non-coding RNA (598 nucleotides) under Lotus japonicus. RNAcentral describes it as "long non-coding RNA (LJAP_LNC000003)". The record is from RNAcentral. Lineage: Eukaryota; Viridiplantae; Streptophyta; Magnoliopsida; Fabales; Fabaceae.